This 466-nucleotide ribosomal RNA is filed under the name uncultured bacterium. RNAcentral's name for it is "partial 16S ribosomal RNA". It matches the Rfam family "Bacterial small subunit ribosomal RNA", at positions 28 to 507 of the family's 1533-position model. The record is from RNAcentral.
GAUGAACGCUGGCGGCGUGCUUAACACAUGCAAGUCGAACGGUGAAGCCAAGCUUGCUUGGUGGUUCAGUGGCGAACGGGUGAGUAACACGUGAGCAACCUGCCCUGGACUCUGGGAUAAGCGCUGGAAACGGCGUCUAAUACUGGAUAUGAGCCUCUUCCGCAUGGUGUGGGGUGGAAAGAUUUUUUGGUCUGGGAUGGGCUCGCGGCCUAUCAGCUUGUUGGUGAGGUAAUGGCUCACCAAGGCGUCGACGGGUAGCCGGCCUGAGAGGGUGACCGGCCACACUGGGACUGAGACACGGCCCAGACUCCUACGGGAGGCAGCAGUGGGGAAUAUUGCACAAUGGGCGAAAGCCUGAUGCAGCAACGCCGCGUGAGGGAUGACGGCCUUCGGGUUGUAAACCUCUUUUAGCAGGGAAGAAGCGAAAGUGACGGUACCUGCGGAAAAAGCGCCGGCUAACUACGUG